This 110-nucleotide ribosomal RNA is filed under the name Propithecus coquereli (Coquerel's sifaka). The record is from RNAcentral. Lineage: Eukaryota; Metazoa; Chordata; Mammalia; Primates; Indriidae.
AUCUGUGGUCAUACCACCCUGAAUGAGCCCAAUCUCUUCUAUCUUGGAAGCUAAGCAGGGUCGGGCCUGGUUAGUACUUGAUUGGGAGAAAAAUCAUGCCAAUAUAUCUU